GGUGUUGUGGCGCAAUGGUGAGCGCAUCGGAUUUCGGUUCAUAAUCGAAAUCAAAUUUUCCGAAGGCUGCAGGUUCGAAUCCUGUCAACAUCG
Myxozyma melibiosi is the source of this 93-nucleotide non-coding RNA. Lineage: Eukaryota; Fungi; Ascomycota; Lipomycetes; Lipomycetales; Lipomycetaceae. The record is from the annotation of a RefSeq genome assembly.